RNAcentral lists this unclassified non-coding RNA (372 nucleotides) under uncultured soil eukaryote. Its description in RNAcentral is "sequence contains 5.8S rRNA gene, ITS2, 28S rRNA gene". The record is from RNAcentral.
AACGCACCUUGCGCCUUUUCGGAGGCAUGCCUGUUUCAGUCUCAGUAAAAUCAAUCAAAAUCUUUUUUUUUCUUUGAAAAGGGGAUUUUGGAAUUGGGCCAUCUCGGAGAAUAUGGGUUUAUAUCACCCCUCCAUUCCGAGAGGUCUGAAAUUUUGGUCGGGUCCCUGAGAAUUUCGAUGGAUCCCUAGCGACAAAUAGUAGUUUUACAAAACUUUUUGCUCCGCUUUGGGGGUUCGUUAAUAUCGAUUUCUCGGUGGAAUUUCUCGGUUGCAGGAUUUUUGGGAGAGAGAAGGGCAAGAAAGAAAUUUUUUGACCCCCUCUUCCACUACAAUCUUGGGCUGAAAUCAGGCAAGACUACCCGCUGAACUUAA